GGGCUGAAUCUCGGCAGCGCAAGGCCAGACGCCCACGGCUGAUUUCUCCCCCCCUUAUGUUCCACUAACGACUCCUAUUCGACUUUUUGCUGGUGUCACUCGCCUUCGUCCCUCACAUGCGACAGACAAGCUCACCGUCUUUCUCUCCAUCAGUCUACCCACCGUCGACUUCUCCCUGAAGUCAGUGGUCCUUGUUGUGACGACUGAACGUCGCUCCUGCGGUGUGCCUUUCCGUCUCUCCCUCUGCGGCUCAGUGAUUCGAUUAUCCUUCUAUGUUCUCUUCCUUCAACCGUCGCGCUGCUAUGUCUUACGUGGUGGCGUACUCCCAGACCGUGCACUCCACCUCUCGCGCACGCAACGGCGUCUGCCAUAGUCUCCAGCGCGUCAUGUGCGGUGCGUUGAAGAGCUCGCGCAAACGCUGAGAGACCUUCGACAACGUCCCGUAGCACUUGGCACGAUGCCAGGCCGUCCUCAGCGCUCUGCAGAGCACCGUCGGCAUGAACACUGCCAUGUAAAGCUGCACUGCUGAGGAGUUGUAGGCGAUGACGCUUAUGGCGAGCACCGGUGACCAUCCCACUACCACGCGCGCCCACUUUUCUAGCGCGUCGCACGGUUACCUUCCUUCCAGCCUCUACAACUCUGCGGAAACUUCACAUGAGAAGACGGUCGAGUCCUUGGAGCCGUCCGGGGCGGAGCCGCGACCACCAGCAGGUCGGAAAGUAAUGGGUUGGUGCACGGCACCUACGUCCUGGCCAACGGGCUGCGUGAGGUGACGCCGUCGUCACUCAACACCACCGCCUCCGGCAUCUAAGCCCAGGACCCCACCACAUCCACUGUGACUCUUCCCACUUCGAAUCGAGUCGAACAGUCACCACAACUAUGGCAGCUCACAACGGCGUGAUUCGUCACCGAGCGCCAGCGUUUACAUCGCCUUCGCCUCAACCGUCUCUCCCUCUCUCCCUCUCCGUCGCCGGCCUCCCAUAUAAACCUCUGUCCUUGACAG
RNAcentral lists this unclassified non-coding RNA (1003 nucleotides) under Leishmania donovani. RNAcentral's name for it is "gene:unknown". Lineage: Eukaryota; Euglenozoa; Kinetoplastea; Trypanosomatida; Trypanosomatidae. The record is from RNAcentral.